AAGGCAAGCUACACCACAUUCAUGGUAGGGAUUGGAUGCAUUAACACAGUCUGGAUGUACUCUUCCAUCAUCAGCCAUCUUUUUGUCAACCCAGAAAGACAGAGAGAGAACUCCUCUGCUUCAAAGAUGGUGCUUUCUGCUCGUACGCAUUAUUUGACUAAUCUCACUCUCGUUUUUUCCAUUUAAAUCCAAUAAAAUCAUCAGGCUCGUAAACGUCACCUACUUUGAAAAAACAGAAAAAGGAGGAAGCUUUGGCUGGUUUGUCUCCAAAUUUGACUAAACGAGCAGAAAGACUAAAACGCACCACCGUACCCGUGGCCGG
Molecule: unclassified non-coding RNA, 322 nt
Filed under: Hevea brasiliensis (rubber tree)
Lineage: Eukaryota; Viridiplantae; Streptophyta; Magnoliopsida; Malpighiales; Euphorbiaceae
Source: RNAcentral